Molecule: long non-coding RNA, 347 nt
Organism: Rhipicephalus microplus (southern cattle tick)
Lineage: Eukaryota; Metazoa; Arthropoda; Arachnida; Ixodida; Ixodidae
Source: RefSeq, a predicted model, not a curated record
CGCGCGCCUUGUGCUCGCUGUGUAAAGUGAUUUCUUCCUCCAUUUAUCGAUUACUCGUGUUGUUCGCGUGGUUCAAUGUCGAGUGUACUUCCGAGGACAAUCCACGACCCCUGCUGUGACAACAAGUGACUGAUGUUAUGCGAGAGCGUGAGCUUUUUGACGGGCGACUGAAGAGUGCUCAGCCAAUGUCAAAACUUCGGAAGUGGUGGCCCGGACGGCUUGUUGGCACAGCGAGGCUGAAAAAGCAGAGUCCCGAUAGGCAGCAAUGGCAGCUGUUCAUGGUCCUGGCACAGAGGACAGGUUGCAGUGCACGAUUGGAGCAGUCUUCCUGCAAGCCCUAACAAGCC